RNAcentral lists this ribosomal RNA (492 nucleotides) under uncultured bacterium. RNAcentral's name for it is "partial 16S ribosomal RNA". It matches the Rfam family "Bacterial small subunit ribosomal RNA", at positions 29 to 507 of the family's 1533-position model. The record is from RNAcentral.
AGUGAACGCUGGCGGUAGGCCUAGCACAUGCAAGUCGAACGGCAGCACAGUAAGAGCUUGCUCUUACGGGUGGCGAGUGGCGGACGGGUGAGGAAUACAUCGGAAUCUACUUUUUCGUGGGGGAUAACGUAGGGAAACUUACGCUAAUACCGCAUACGACCUACGGGUGAAAGCAGGGGAUCUUCGGACCUUGCGCGAUUGAAUGAGCCGAUGUCGGAUUAGCUAGUUGGCGGGGUAAAGGCCCACCAAGGCGACGAUCCGUAGCUGGUCUGAGAGGAUGAUCAGCCACACUGGAACUGAGACACGGUCCAGACUCCUAAGGGAGGCAGCAGUGGGGAAUAUUGGACAAUGGGCGCAAGCCUGAUCCAGCCAUACCGCGUGGGUGAAGAAGGCCUUCGGGUUGUAAAGCCCUUUUGUUGGGAAAGAAAAGCAGCAGGUUAAUACCCCGCUGUUAUGACGGUACCCAAAGAAUAAGCACCGGCUAACUUCGUG